GGUGAGAUGGCUGAAUUUAUAGGCGAUAGACUGUAAAUCUAUUUAUGAGAAUAUUCUCUCUCACCA
Molecule: transfer RNA, 66 nt
Filed under: Chorthippus albonemus
Lineage: Eukaryota; Metazoa; Arthropoda; Insecta; Orthoptera; Acrididae
Also listed under: 1 other name
Description: tRNA-Tyr
Rfam family: tRNA
About the family: Transfer RNA (tRNA) molecules are approximately 80 nucleotides in length.
Source: RNAcentral